UACGUAGGGGGCGAGUGUUACCCGGAUUCACUGGGCGUAAAGCGGGUGUAGGCGGCUCGGUAAGUCGGGUGUGAAAUCCCACAGCUCAACUGUGGAAUUGCGCCCGAAACUGCUGAGCUUGGGGCCGGUAGAGGGAGACGGAACUGCCGGUGUAGGGGUGAAAUCCGUAGAUAUCGGCAGGAACGCCGGUGGGGAAGCCGGUCUCCUGGGCCGCGCCCGACGCUGAGACCCGAAAGCUAGGGGAGCAAACCGG
Molecule: ribosomal RNA, 253 nt
Filed under: uncultured microorganism
Description: partial 16S ribosomal RNA
Rfam family: Bacterial small subunit ribosomal RNA
Source: RNAcentral